RNAcentral lists this ribosomal RNA (253 nucleotides) under uncultured bacterium. Its description in RNAcentral is "partial 16S ribosomal RNA". It matches the Rfam family "Bacterial small subunit ribosomal RNA", at positions 524 to 776 of the family's 1533-position model. The record is from RNAcentral.
UACAGAGGGUGCGAGCGUUGUUCGGAAUUACUGGGCGUAAAGGGCUCGUAGGCGGCCAACUAAGUCGGAUGUGAAAUCCCCAGGCUUAACCUGGGAACUGCAUCCGAUACUGGAUGGCUUGAAUUCGGGAGAGGGAUGCAGAAUUCCAGGUGUAGCGGUGAAAUGCGUAGAUAUCUGGAGGAAUACCGGUGGCGAAGGCGGCAUCCUGGACCGGCAUUGACGCUGAUGAGCGAAAGCUAGGGGAGCAAACGGG